UACGUAGGGGGCAAGCGUUUGUCCGGAAUCAUUGGGCGUAAAGCGCGUGUAGGCGGCCCGGUAAGUCCGCUGUGAAAGUCGGGGGCUCAACCCUCGAAUGCCGGUGGAUACUGUCGGGCUAGAGUGCGGGAGAGGCGAGUGGAAUUCCCAGUGUAGCGGUGAAAUGCGUAGAUAUUGGGAGGAAUACCGGUGGCGAAGGCGGCUCCCUGGACCGGUACUGACGCUGAGGCGCGAAAGCGUGGGUAGCAAACAGG
This 254-nucleotide ribosomal RNA is filed under the name uncultured bacterium. Its description in RNAcentral is "partial 16S ribosomal RNA". It matches the Rfam family "Bacterial small subunit ribosomal RNA", at positions 524 to 776 of the family's 1533-position model. The record is from RNAcentral.